GGGGGCCUGUUUCUGCUCAAGAUCAAUGGUCAUGAACUUCCAGGAAAACGUCACCUUGGCUAUGGCUGUUUUCACCAUUCUAGCCUCCAUCUACUUCUUCAACAAGGCUCAGCACUGAGAAGACCACAGGAACCACCCCCAGCCCCCAGUCCAAGAACCGUGUCUCUGGCCCUGACCAUGGCUCUGGGCUUCAAGGUCAAAUAAAUGUGACGGCAUCA
Echinops telfairi (small Madagascar hedgehog) is the source of this 218-nucleotide long non-coding RNA. RefSeq lists it as uncharacterized. The record is from RefSeq and is a predicted model, not a curated record. The transcript is spliced from 3 exons. NCBI's taxonomy places the organism in Eukaryota, Metazoa, Chordata, Mammalia, Afrosoricida, Tenrecidae.